UUUAUUGGAGAGUUUGAUCCUGGCUCAGGAUGAACGCUGGCGGCGUGCCUAAUACAUGCAAGUCGAGCGAAUGGAUUGAGAGCUUGCUCUCAAGAAGUUAGCGGCGGACGGGUGAGUAACACGUGGGUAACCUGCCCAUAAGACUGGGAUAACUCCG
RNAcentral lists this ribosomal RNA (157 nucleotides) under Bacillus thuringiensis serovar israelensis. RNAcentral describes it as "partial 16S ribosomal RNA". It matches the Rfam family "Bacterial small subunit ribosomal RNA", at positions 1 to 151 of the family's 1533-position model. The record is from RNAcentral. Lineage: Bacteria; Bacillati; Bacillota; Bacilli; Caryophanales; Bacillaceae.